Acanthochromis polyacanthus (spiny chromis) is the source of this 219-nucleotide long non-coding RNA. RefSeq lists it as uncharacterized. The transcript is spliced from 3 exons. Lineage: Eukaryota; Metazoa; Chordata; Actinopteri; Pomacentridae. The record is from RefSeq and is a predicted model, not a curated record.
AUGGAGUCACACACCUCUGUGUCAUAGUUCCACUAAUCAGGAGGUCUAGAAGGAGUCAUAGUAGCACUAAUCAGGAGGUCUAGAAGGAGUCAUAGUAGCACUAAUCAGGAGGUCUAGAAGGAGUCAUAGUUCCACUAAUCAGGAGGUCUAGAAGGAGUCAUAGUUCCACUAAUCAGGAGGUCUAGAAGGAGUCAUAGUUCCACUAAUCAGGAGGUCUAG